Molecule: ribosomal RNA, 1467 nt
Filed under: Escherichia coli
Lineage: Bacteria; Pseudomonadati; Pseudomonadota; Gammaproteobacteria; Enterobacterales; Enterobacteriaceae
Description: partial 23S ribosomal RNA
Rfam family: Bacterial large subunit ribosomal RNA
Source: RNAcentral
UGCACCGAAGCUGCGGCAGCGACGCUUAUGCGUUGUUGGGUAGGGGAGCGUUCUGUAAGCCUGUGAAGGUGUACUGUGAGGUAUGCUGGAGGUAUCAGAAGUGCGAAUGCUGACAUAAGUAACGAUAAAGCGGGUGAAAAGCCCGCUCGCCGGAAGACCAAGGGUUCCUGUCCAACGUUAAUCGGGGCAGGGUGAGUCGACCCCUAAGGCGAGGCCGAAAGGCGUAGUCGAUGGGAAACAGGUUAAUAUUCCUGUACUUGGUGUUACUGCGAAGGGGGGACGGAGAAGGCUAUGUUGGCCGGGCGACGGUUGUCCCGGUUUAAGCGUGUAGGCUGGUUUUCCAGGCAAAUCCGGAAAAUCAAGGCUGAGGCGUGAUGACGAGGCACUACGGUGCUGAAGCAACAAAUGCCCUGCUUCCAGGAAAAGCCUCUAAGCAUCAGGUAACAUCAAAUCGUACCCCAAACCGACACAGGUGGUCAGGUAGAGAAUACCAAGGCGCUUGAGAGAACUCGGGUGAAGGAACUAGGCAAAAUGGUGCCGUAACUUCGGGAGAAGGCACGCUGAUAUGUAGGUGAAGUCCCUCGCGGAUGGAGCUGAAAUCAGUCGAAGAUACCAGCUGGCUGCAACUGUUUAUUAAAAACACAGCACUGUGCAAACACGAAAGUGGACGUAUACGGUGUGACGCCUGCCCGGUGCCGGAAGGUUAAUUGAUGGGGUUAGCGCAAGCGAAGCUCUUGAUCGAAGCCCCGGUAAACGGCGGCCGUAACUAUAACGGUCCUAAGGUAGCGAAAUUCCUUGUCGGGUAAGUUCCGACCUGCACGAAUGGCGUAAUGAUGGCCAGGCUGUCUCCACCCGAGACUCAGUGAAAUUGAACUCGCUGUGAAGAUGCAGUGUACCCGCGGCAAGACGGAAAGACCCCGUGAACCUUUACUAUAGCUUGACACUGAACAUUGAGCCUUGAUGUGUAGGAUAGGUGGGAGGCUUUGAAGUGUGGACGCCAGUCUGCAUGGAGCCGACCUUGAAAUACCACCCUUUAAUGUUUGAUGUUCUAACGUGGACCCGUAAUCCGGGUUGCGGACAGUGUCUGGUGGGUAGUUUGACUGGGGCGGUCUCCUCCUAAAGAGUAACGGAGGAGCACGAAGGUUGGCUAAUCCUGGUCGGACAUCAGGAGGUUAGUGCAAUGGCAUAAGCCAGCUUGACUGCGAGCGUGACGGCGCGAGCAGGUGCGAAAGCAGGUCAUAGUGAUCCGGUGGUUCUGAAUGGAAGGGCCAUCGCUCAACGGAUAAAAGGUACUCCGGGGAUAACAGGCUGAUACCGCCCAAGAGUUCAUAUCGACGGCGGUGUUUGGCACCUCGAUGUCGGCUCAUCACAUCCUGGGGCUGAAGUAGGUCCCAAGGGUAUGGCUGUUCGCCAUUUAAAGUGGUACGCGAGCUGGGUUUAGAACGUCGUGAGACAGUUCGGUCCCUA